Molecule: long non-coding RNA, 592 nt
Organism: Halichondria panicea
Lineage: Eukaryota; Metazoa; Porifera; Demospongiae; Suberitida; Halichondriidae
Exons: 6
Source: RefSeq, a predicted model, not a curated record
CAGUAUAAACAAAGGAGGCUCAGCUUGGCUUGCAGAGAUCUAGAUAGAGUAAUUACUUUAUCUCUGGUUCUUGGUACAUGGUCUAAUAAGUUAAAUCUACAGUUGAUGUUGCUGACUGAAGCUCAGGAGCACUGUCCAUUGAGAGACAGUGAAAGCUGGCGUCUGUAACUCCGUACCAUUACCUCAUGUGUUGAGUAAAGCCCACCUGAACUUGGAACAUAUUGCGGAGGGACAGGAAUAUCUGCAUUGGGUAGCUUCACAAAUCCCGGGCAAGACCUGAAAUAACCCUAUUGAAGAUAAGCAGAUGCAAUGCUAACUGGAGCGUCACUAUUGGAUAGAGGAGUACUUCUUCUGAUGAUUGAUGGUGCGUUUCAGAAUCUUCAGACGAGAUAUAAGGGCGAAAGAAAAAGUAGCCGUAACUUCCAUGGACUAGCACUGCUCAAAAAACACAAGAAAAGGAAAAUAAGAAAAUCUUCGCCGCCUGACUGCUACAAGCAGGGACCUCCUGCAGAGUGAAAGACUCUUACAUUAAUUAUACUACUCUGUUUAUUGUCUCAAGUUUAUUUAUUGUAUUAUUACCUUAUUUUCCUUU